GCCAGCGUGGCGGAACUGGUAGACGCGCCGGACUCAAAAUCCGGUGGGCCUUGCCCAUGAGGGUUCGAGUCCCUCCGCUGGUA
This 83-nucleotide transfer RNA is filed under the name Caminibacter pacificus. RNAcentral describes it as "Cetia pacifica tRNA-Leu". It matches the Rfam family "tRNA". Rfam says of the family: Transfer RNA (tRNA) molecules are approximately 80 nucleotides in length. Their secondary structure includes four short double-helical elements and three loops (D, anti-codon, and T loops). The record is from RNAcentral. Lineage: Bacteria; Pseudomonadati; Campylobacterota; Epsilonproteobacteria; Nautiliales; Nautiliaceae.